RNAcentral lists this unclassified non-coding RNA (346 nucleotides) under soil metagenome. RNAcentral describes it as "partial contains 5.8S ribosomal RNA, internal transcribed spacer 2, and large subunit ribosomal RNA". The stretch from base 1 to 119 matches the Rfam family "5.8S ribosomal RNA", at positions 35 to 154 of the family's 154-position model. The record is from RNAcentral.
GAUGAAGAACGCAGCGAAAUGCGAUACGUAAUGUGAAUUGCAAAUUCAGUGAAUCAUCGAGUCUUUGAACGCACAUUGCGCCCCCUGGUAUUCCGGGGGGCAUGCCUGUCCGAGCGUCAUUGCUGCCCUCAAGCACGGCUUGUGUGUUGGGCCCCGUCCUCCGAUCCCGGGGGACGGGCCCGAAAGGCAGCGGCGGCACCGCGUCCGGUCCUCGAGCGUAUGUGGGCUUUGUCACCCGCUCCGUAGGCCCGGCCGGCGCUUGCCGAUCAACCCAAAUUUUUAUCCAGGUUGACCUCGGAUCAGGUAGGGAUACCCGCUGAACUUAAGCAUAUCAAUAAGCGGAGGA